GUCUUAACUGGGCGUUAAGUUGCAGGGUAUAGACCCGAAACCCGGUGAUCUAGCCAUGGGCAGGUUGAAGGUUGGGUAACACUAACUGGAGGACCGAACCGACUAAUGUUGAAAAAUUAGCGGAUGACUUGUGGCUGGGGGUGAAAGGCCAAUCAAACCGGGAGAUAGCUGGUUCUCCCCGAAAGCUAUUUAGGUAGCGCCUCGUGAAUUCAUCUCCGGGGGUAGAGCACUGUUUCGGCAAGGGGGUCAUCCCGACUUACCAACCCGAUGCAAACUGCGAAUACCGGAGAAUGUUAUCACGGGAGACACACGGCGGGUGCUAACGUCCGUCGUGAAGAGGGAAACAACCCAGACCGCCAGCUAAGGUCCCAAAGUCAUGGUUAAGUGGGAAACGAUGUGGGAAGGCCCAGACAGCCAGGAUGUUGGCUUAGAAGCAGCCAUCAUUUAAAGAAAGCGUAAUAGCUCACUGGUCGAGUCGGCCUGCGCGGAAGAUGUAACGGGGCUAAACCAUGCACCGAAGCUGCGGCAGCGACGCUUAUGCGUUGUUGGGUAGGGGAGCGUUCUGUAAGCCUGUGAAGGUGUGCUGUGAGGCAUGCUGGAGGUAUCAGAAGUGCGAAUGCUGACAUAAGUAACGAUAAAGCGGGUGAAAAGCCCGCUCGCCGGAAGACCAAGGGUUCCUGUCCAACGUUAAUCGGGGCAGGGUGAGUCGACCCCUAAGGCGAGGCCGAAAGGCGUAGUCGAUGGGAAACAGGUUAAUAUUCCUGUACUUGGUGUUACUGCGAAGGGGGGACGGAGAAGGCUAUGUUGGCCGGGCGACGGUUGUCCCGGUUUAAGCGUGUAGGCUGGUUUUCCAGGCAAAUCCGGAAAAUCAAGGCUGAGGCGUGAUGACGAGGCACUACGGUGCUGAAGCAACAAAUGCCCUGCUUCCAGGAAAAGCCUCUAAGCAUCAGGUAACAUCAAAUCGUACCCCAAACCGACACAGGUGGUCAGGUAGAGAAUACCAAGGCGCUUGAGAGAACUCGGGUGAAGGAACUAGGCAAAAUGGUGCCGUAACUUCGGGAGAAGGCACGCUGAUAUGUAGGUGAAGUCCCUCGCGGAUGGAGCUGAAAUCAGUCGAAGAUACCAGCUGGCUGCAACUGUUUAUUAAAAACACAGCACUGUGCAAACACGAAAGUGGACGUAUACGGUGUGACGCCUGCCCGGUGCCGGAAGGUUAAUUGAUGGGGUCAGCGCAAGCGAAGCUCUUGAUCGAAGCCCCGGUAAACGGCGGCCGUAACUAUAACGGUCCUAAGGUAGCGAAAUUCCUUGUCGGGUAAGUUCCGACCUGCACGAAUGGCGUAAUGAUGGCCAGGCUGUCUCCACCCGAGACUCAGUGAAAUUGAACUCGCUGUGAAGAUGCAGUGUACCCGCGGCAAGACGGAAAGACCCCGUGAACCUUUACUAUAGCUUGACACUGAACAUUGAGCCUUGAUGUGUAGGAUAGGUGGGAGGCUUAGAAGUGUGGACGCCAGUCUGCAUGGAGCCGACCUUGAAAUACCACCCUUUAAUGUUUGAUGUUCUAACGUUGACCCGUAAUCCGGGUUGCGGACAGUGUCUGGUGGGUAGUUUGACUGGGGCGGUCUCCUCCUAAAGAGUAACGGAGGAGCACGAAGGUUGGCUAAUCCUGGUCGGACAUCAGGAGGUUAGUGCAAUGGCAUAAGCCAGCUUGACUGCGAGCGUGACGGCGCGAGCAGGUGCGAAAGCAGGUCAUAGUGAUCCGGUGGUUCUGAAUGGAAGGGCCAUCGCUCAACGGAUAAAAGGUACUCCGGGGAUAACAGGCUGAUACCGCCCAAGAGUUCAUAUCGACGGCGGUGUUUGGCACCUCGAUGUCGGCUCAUCACAUCCUGGGGCUGAAGUAGGUCCCAAGGGUAUGGCUGUUCGCCAUUUAAAGUGGUACGCGAGCUGGGUUUAGAACGUCGUGAGACAGUUCGGUCCCUAUCUGCCGUGGGCGCUGGAGAACUGAGGGGGGCUGCUCCUAGUACGAGAGGACCGGAGUGGACGCAUCACUGGUGUUCGGGUUGUCAUGCCAAUGGCACUGCCCGGUAGCUAAAUGCGGAAGAGAUAAGUGCUGAAAGCAUCUAAGCACGAAACUUGCC
RNAcentral lists this ribosomal RNA (2135 nucleotides) under Escherichia coli. RNAcentral describes it as "partial 23S ribosomal RNA". It matches the Rfam family "Bacterial large subunit ribosomal RNA", at positions 681 to 2798 of the family's 2925-position model. The record is from RNAcentral. Lineage: Bacteria; Pseudomonadati; Pseudomonadota; Gammaproteobacteria; Enterobacterales; Enterobacteriaceae.